Molecule: ribosomal RNA, 851 nt
Filed under: human oral metagenome
Description: bacterial SSU rRNA
Rfam family: Bacterial small subunit ribosomal RNA
Source: RNAcentral
AGAGUUUGAUCCUGGCUCAGGAUGAACGCUAGCUACAGGCUUAACACAUGCAAGUCGCGGGGCAUCAUGGUGAUUGCUUGCAAUUACUGAUGGCGACCGGCGCACGGGUGAGUAACGCGUAUCCAACCUACCCUUUACUACGGGAUAACCCGGCGAAAGUCGGACUAAUACCGUAUGUAGUCCAUCGGUAGGGGUUCUGAGAGGAAGGUCCCCCACACUGGAACUGAGACACGGUCCAGACUCCUACGGGAGGCAGCAGUGAGGAAUAUUGGUCAAUGGGCGUAAGCCUGAACCAGCCAAGUAGCGUGCAGGAUGACGGCCCUAUGGGUUGUAAACUGCUUUUAUGCGGGGAUAAAUGAGCCCACGUGUGGGAUUUUGCAGGUACCGCAUGAAUAAGGACCGGCUAAUUCCGUGCCAGCAGCCGCGGUAAUACGGAAGGUCCAGGCGUUAUCCGGAUUUAUUGGGUUUAAAGGGAGCGUAGGCCGCCUCUUAAGCGUGUUGUGAAAUGCGGGUGCUCAACAUCCGACUUGCAGCGCGAACUGGGGGGCUUGAGUGCGCCGAAAGUAGGCGGAAUUCGUGGUGUAGCGGUGAAAUGCUUAGAUAUCACGAAGAACUCCGAUUGCGAAGGCAGCUUACUGUAGCGCAACUGACGCUGAUGCUCGAAAGCGUGGGUAUCGAACAGGAUUAGAUACCCUGGUAGUCCACGCGGUAAACGAUGGAUGCUCGUUGUUGGCCCUUAUGGUCAGUGACCAAGCGAAAGCGUUAAGCAUCCCACCUGGGGAGUACGCCGGCAACGGUGAAACUCAAAGGAAUUGACGGGGGCCCGCACAAGCGGAGGAACAUGUGGUUUA